RNAcentral lists this ribosomal RNA (604 nucleotides) under Cephalotus follicularis. RNAcentral describes it as "Bacterial small subunit ribosomal RNA". It matches the Rfam family "Bacterial small subunit ribosomal RNA". The record is from Rfam by way of RNAcentral. Lineage: Eukaryota; Viridiplantae; Streptophyta; Magnoliopsida; Oxalidales; Cephalotaceae.
UCGAAGAAGAGUUGUUCAAGGCAGAUAGUUCCAGAUAUGGGAAAUUCAUUAGCUAUCUAUAACGCCUAUCUAGGUGAAGAUUGUAUGGCUAAGUGUGGUAGGCUUUUGCACAUAAAAGGCAUAAUGGUUCAAGUGACAAAAAAGGUAUCGACCAAUGAGAAUCUCAUAUUUGGAAUCCGAGAGGAUGAUUAGCCACACUGGGACUGAGACAUGGCCCAGACUCCUACGGGAGGCAGCGGUGAGGAAUUUUCCGUAAUGGGAGAAAGCCUGACAUAGACCGUGUUGGAGAUAGUUUAUAAGGGUUCUCGCCAACCAUACGAGUAUAUACCCUUAUGUAUAACCUAUUCACAUUAGUGAUUCAAUCAAGGUUGACAUUAUUCUAAAUCGUUCUUAUUCAACAAGCACAAGAGAUGACAAACGCAUAAGGAAAGGGAGGCAAUCCAGGCCUUGUACACACCGUCCGCCACACUUUGGGAGUUGUCCAUGCCCGAAGUCGUUAACUUAACCGCAAGCAGGGGGAUGCCGAAGGCAGGGCUAGUAAUUGGAGUGAAGUCAUAACAAGGCUCGCCGUUCAUCUUACCAGUCUACAAGCAUCACAAACCUC